This 254-nucleotide ribosomal RNA is filed under the name uncultured bacterium. RNAcentral's name for it is "partial 16S ribosomal RNA". It matches the Rfam family "Bacterial small subunit ribosomal RNA", at positions 524 to 776 of the family's 1533-position model. The record is from RNAcentral.
UACGUAGGGCGCAAGCGUUGUCCGGAAUUAUUGGGCGUAAAGAGCUCGUAGGCGGUGUGUCACGUCGGCCGUGAAAACCUGCAGCUUAACUGUGGGCGUGCGGUCGAUACGGGCAUCACUGGAGUUCGGCAGGGGAGACUGGAAUUCCUGGUGUAGCGGUGAAAUGCGCAGAUAUCAGGAGGAACACCGGUGGCGAAGGCGGGUCUCUGGGCCAUUACUGACACUGAGAAGCGAAAGCAUGGGGAGCGAACAGG